GUUACACGCAUUCUCAAUUUGGUGCUCUACCAGUUACCAUAUCUGUAUUCUAAUACUUUAGGUUAAAUUACCAACUGUUCUAGCACAAAAGGCUGUUUUUGGGGUAGCACGUUAAGAUAAGGUAAUGGGGUAUGCUUACAUUUCUUUGCCAUACACCUGACGGACCAAAAUGCCUAAAGGCACUAUCUAUGGAUGAUUCCUCCGAUUUCUACAGGCACCGACCUUGGGUUCCCGCGAGAUCUCGUAAUGAUGGAGAAGGAGCUGGGACGAGGUGUGUUCGGGAGGCUGUUCUUGGCCACAGCCCAUGGGAUCGAUGAAGCAGGGAAAGACACGAAGGUCGUCGUCAAGACUGUCAUAGGUUGUGCAAGGACAGAUGAGGACACAGGGGGCAGGCUUCACGUUCUCGCAGAGCUGGAUCUGAUGAAAGAAAUUUGUUCGCAUCCAAAUGUCAUCAGACUACUUGGCUUUUGUGUGGAGACGGAUCCCGUUUACAUCAUUGUUGAGCACUGUGCUAAGGGGGAUUUGAGGAGCGUUCUACUGCAGUACCGAGACACGGAGCUCGGUAAAGCCUACUGCAGGCCCGGGUCCGAGCCUGAAUCGAGCGGACCGCUGUCUCGGACCUUAGUCGGAUUUGCGAGGGACGUGGCAAAUGGUAUGGCCUUUUUAUCCUCAAAAAAGUAUGUACUUUGUGACCUGACUUCAAGUAAAGUGCUGGUGGGCGAUGACUACUCGUGUAAGUUGGCCGACUUCAGAAGGGUGAAAGGAGUCACAGCUGUCUACGCAGAUUUAUGUGAAACGAACUUAAAGGUAGCGUGCACAUCCUUACAAAACUGUCGUGCAUUUUCUUUAGAUAAACGCUGCCUCACUAUUCAGCAUCCAAACUAUAUCCCUAAAUGUCUGCUGAGUUGUUGAGUUAUCUUUCUCUCAGAUGAGUUGGUCACUUUCUUGAAAACACGGUCCUAAAAAACUAAUUGUGCGUUGCAACAACGCCUCCCCCAAAUAAGGAGGAAAUGAAGAAUGUUCUGAAGUCCUCUUCUUUACGAAUGAUCUUGGGGGCCAACUUUGAAGACAGAUGGGGUUGAUGAAGUCAUUAUAAAUAUAUCCACGCUUCACUGAAAACAUAACUGUUUUCAACAGUCUCGCCCACCGUUUCGAUGGCUGGCACCCGAGUCAUAUGAAUAUGGCAUUUUUUCUACGGCAAGUGACGUGUGGUCUUUUGGGGUAGUACUCUGGGAGAUCCUUACACUGGGGAAAAAACCCUACUCCGAGCUGGGGAUGAGCGGUAUGCCUAUAGAAGACCGCAUUGCGACAGGCUAUCGCUUGCCCAAGCCCCGGAACUGUGGCCAAACGACGUACGCCAUGAUGCUUAGCUGUUGGAAAAAACAAGCCUCAGGAUCGACCUGAUUUCCAACAUCUCCUUCAGCAACUCGAUGGGAUGCUCUCGAGACAGACUGAACACUCUCCACACUGAAAACAAAAAUCGUGGGUUACAUUUCAAUCCAUAGGAGGUUGGAAGCUGCCACUCUCCAAAGGUGGUGAAAUAAUCCAAUUUAGGGGAAAAGAUUUUCAGACUCAGUUUUACCAAUAAAAAUGAGUUUUCAUAAUUAAAGCCUGGAUAAGUUUUACAUUUGUUAGCAGUGAUCAAAAAUGUAUACUUUUCUAGUUAAAAUGUAGAAUAGACGAUAUUACGUAUUUAUGUGCCCAUAUCUCGCUGGACUAUGGAGUUUUGACCUUUUAUGGAGAGAUAUUAGACGCUAGAAUGCUUAACAUGGAAAAAUUGAAAAUCCUAUGACCGUUUGAUGACCUCAAUACUUUGUCUUUCAAAUGUUAACCGCGAAUGUCAAGAUGUGUAAUGGAAUUUCAUUUAUAAGAUGUAGUGCCUGGUAUUGAUAGAUGGUUAACAUCAAUCAAGUUUUGGCAUCAUCGUGUGUGGUUAGUGGAGUCAUUGGUUCAGUACUGUUCUCUGUUUUGCCAUAAAAAUGUGGUUGAUUCCUGAAUAAAGCAUAAAUAUUGAAUAUGUUAUUGUGAUAAAUUACCGAAAGCUAAACAUUAACGGAGUAGCCGGGACACGGAUAACAACAUUGCUCCGUGAAAAGAACAGUCUUGGAUUUGUAGCGCGCAAACACAAUUCGUGGAAAGCACACCCUUAAGAAACGUUAUGCCACUAGUAAACACUUGUUGGCACUCCAGGGUCUGAAGCCCCUUGCUCAAUUUUCUUAGCUCUAUCAGCCUUUGAAUACUGUAAAAGGGUGUGUUAAAUUAGGAGAUGACGAUCGACAUUGAUCAAUACUGACUUUGAUAAAUGCUGACUUUGAAAAUUGCCCUGAUGUAUUGCUUUAAUUUCCACCCUCACGUUUCCAACUGAUCACUUAUUUGUCCCUCUCUGAACCGGAAUUAAACUAUAACUUUGCCUUAUAUGCAAAGAGAACCAGCAGCUUCAGAGAUGCAUUGAACAAAAUUUACACGAAUACCUAUUCCCGACAGCCAAUUAUAUUGCCCUUGUGCAAAUAGUUGGGUAAGUUACCGCAACCCUUAAUUUGGAUAUAGUUGAGAAAAAUAUCGAAACUGCAUUUUGUUUCCAACUAUUUAACACACACGUGCAUGCACACCCAGGCUAGGAGUGAGGGUAAUUGGCAAACAAUAACUUUUCAGCUGUUCCUAUAACUUUUUCAAACCAGCUAAAUCGACCUAUAUUGUACAUGCAGUUGUAAGGACUUGGGCUCUUGCAUUGGGAAACUCUUUGGCUCCGUGAACUGAGGUGACAUUAAGCUGGAUUCUGAGAGAUCUGCGGGUACACGUCUGUAUGCUUUUUGUAUUAAGCCUAAAGCCCGCUUAAAAGUAGUCAACACCCUUUUUUGGCAUAAUUUUACAAGAUUGGCUGAUUGAAGUGUAUAAUAUUCACUGCAACUGACGUUCUUCUGACUUCUCUCAUGAUUUAGUCGGUUUGAAUUGUAAUUGAUUGCCUUGUAAUGACGCUCUCUUCACCAAAUUGAAUGCAGUAGAAGCAAAUGUAUCCGCUUGUAUGUCGUUGUUCGGAGUUGGCACGUUUUCUGGAAAAUUGGUGUUUCAUCAAGAUCGGCAUAAAAGACACAUGAUGGGCUCUUGAC
Molecule: long non-coding RNA, 3107 nt
Organism: Acanthaster planci (crown-of-thorns starfish)
Lineage: Eukaryota; Metazoa; Echinodermata; Asteroidea; Valvatida; Acanthasteridae
Source: RefSeq, a predicted model, not a curated record